UACGUAGGGUGCAAGCGUUGUCCGGAAUUAUUGGGCGUAAAGAGCUCGUAGGCGGUCUGUUGCGUCGGCUGUGAAAACCCGGGGCUCAACUCCGGGCCUGCAGCCGAUACGGGCAGACUAGAGUUCGGCAGGGGAGACUGGAAUUCCUGGUGUAGCGGUGAAAUGCGCAGAUAUCAGGAGGAACACCGGUGGCGAAGGCGGGUCUCUGGGCCGUACCUGACACUGAUGCGCGACAGCAUGGGGAGCAAACAGG
RNAcentral lists this ribosomal RNA (253 nucleotides) under uncultured bacterium. RNAcentral describes it as "partial 16S ribosomal RNA". It matches the Rfam family "Bacterial small subunit ribosomal RNA", at positions 524 to 776 of the family's 1533-position model. The record is from RNAcentral.